UUAGAGAGAGAGAGAGAGGGGAUGGGCGUAGUGAUGAAGAAAGGGAGGUCGCUGGAGUCGACGGCAACGUGGGCAGUGGCGGUGGUUUGUUUUGUGCUGAUUGCCGUAUCGAUUGUCAUUCACAAAUGCAUUCAUCCUAUUCAAUCAUGGUUGAAGAAGAAACGAAGAUCAUCUCUAUGUGAAGCAUAUGAAAACACUAAAACAGAGCUUAUGAUGUUGGGGUUCAUGUCAUUACUGGUGUCGCUUGCACAACCAUACAUUUCAAAAAUAUGUGUUCCCAAUAGUGUUGGACACUCUUGGCAUCCAUGCAAAGACGAAAAUGAAUCACAAUAUCAAGAUCAAGAUCCAU
Molecule: long non-coding RNA, 349 nt
Organism: Salvia miltiorrhiza (redroot sage)
Lineage: Eukaryota; Viridiplantae; Streptophyta; Magnoliopsida; Lamiales; Lamiaceae
Exons: 3
Source: RefSeq, a predicted model, not a curated record